UGGUUUGAUGAAUUUCGUUAUUUUUAUGGGAUUCUUGACCACUAUCUCUUAAAAUAUUUCUUCCGCCCUGUUCUCUCACUCUUCUUCUCUUGUCCAGAAGACGGAUCUGAGGACCCAUCCCCACACAGCCAUCAGUUACCUUCUGUGUGCCUGCACUGUGGAGGAAGCCUUUCUCCCGGCUCCUGCCUGCCUGUCAUCCUCCUCAGGAGCAUCCAGGGGAAGGCUUGUGAGUGAGGGAGCACAGACUGCCCUGUGUCUGGAGCACCCAACUGUUUUGGAGCGAUGCACUAGCCCACACGGGGCCGUCGGCAGUUGGUUAAAACCUAAGCUUAUUUCUCGUUCCCCACUUGCACCUGCUGGCCCUCUCUCCCAUGCUCUACUCCAGGUGACACCGUGAGUGAGUUCCAUCUCUCCUCACAAGGCCUUAACUCUUUGGAAUUCUGGUAGUUAGCUGCCUUGUGAUCUCAGCUCUCUGAUGGGUUUGAGAAAAACUGAUUGCGUAGCAGGUUAAGAUGGGGUAAUAUUUAUAGCUUUCUUCAUCCCAAGCGGAAGUGGCAUCUCCACUGGUUACACUUUGAAUUCAUGACUCCAUACUCUUUCCUGCUGCUGGGCAAUCCCACUCCAUCUCUCUGGUGUAAUCAUUCUCUCAUUCUCCUGGAUGACUGCUUCAGUUUUCCCUCUCUCCUCCUGCAAACUCACUCUCAGCUGAUGAAUUUGCUUCCCAUUUCACUGUAAAAGCAAAAGCAACCUUCCACCAACUCUCACUAUGACACCUACCCAUCUACCUGUGUCUACCCUCUGCCUUCCCUCCUGUUAGAGGAUGAACAGCCAAUGAUCCUAGCAGAGAACCACACCCUUAUUUGUCCAUCAGACAAUUCCCAUAGUCUCUCAUCUACUCAAAGAUGUCUCUCCAGCAUUUCUCUUCUCCCUCUCUGGUCAUCAACUUUCCCUCUCUGCCUCAAACAGCAAACUCUGCUCCCUUCUAAACUUGUCUAGGUAUACAAUAUAACAGAACCCUAUAUUUAUGUAUUUUACUUUCCCAUCAUGGUUAUGUCGGACUUUAUUGCCAUUUAUAAAAAUGGAGGCGGGCCUAAUAAGCUUCCUUUGCACUUUUCUAAUUCUUUCAAAUUCUAUUCCUGUAGACUCCUUCAACUUGGCGUGCAAAUCGCUGAAAAUACUCGUGCUGCCAGCAGAGGGCGCCCUCAUUGUGCCCAUGCUCCGUCCAGGAAGUGCAUAGUGGAGUCCAAAGGAGAUUUGGUCUGGGAAACAUUUGCCCGGGGUUUCUGGUUAUCAUAUUUCCCCAACAGGCACCUGUUUGACUGGCAUUUCCUGGCUCACACCCAUCUUAGCAUAUUUCUUUGUUGGUUGAUUGGCUUGAAGGAAGGUUUCAGUAAUUCAUUACUUCACAUCAUCAGAGCGGAACCCCAUAAGCAAUUAACCCUUCACAAGCUGAGUCACCGGACUUUGGAUAAUACAGGAUUAGACCAUUUAGCUGAAGCAGCUCAAGUCUGUAAAUAUGCAUGGGUUUCUGGAGCCUUUGGCAAUGCCUUAUAUGGAUUUCCUGAAUCAUCAGCAGAACACAGAGAGGUAACCUGAUUCUUCUGCUUGAGUGGCUUCACGAAGCAGCGAACACUUUUCCUGUCCAUUGUUGAACCCCUCAUGCCUAACCCAGUGCCUAGAACACAGGCUCGUCAUAGAUGUGUGGAAUGAAUGGAUGAAAGAAAACAACGAAGAGCCAGUUGUCGGUGGAGGAUCCCAAAGGAGCAGUUCCGCCUUCAUGUUGAAGACUUUCUUUGCCCUGCAUGUUGUAACCACAUAAAGCUAGCUGGGAGCCACGUGGCUGCCCUCAUUGUUGCUCCUUGGCAAUGUUCUCUCUGUGCCAGGCAUCAAACAUGAGCCCCUCAGUGGGAUCCCUGCCCUGUGUGCGCCCCAAUACCUGGACACUUCCUGGAUGCUCCAAGAGGAUGGAGAUUUGCCCCUCCCGACUUUCCCAUGAUUAAUGUUUGUCCGUAGCCUUGUCACAACCAACCUUGGGAGUGUUGCUGGGUUCUGGUGGGGGUCCCUCCUGAGAGAGGCCUUUCUAUUCUGUGAGGUGAAUUGAAGGCUGUCAAACCUUUCGCUCAAACUGGUCUCAUCUGCAUCAAGUCGUACAGAAAUUCCUUGAAAUGUCUGGUAUGUGGGUGGAAUCCUUUUUCAGUUUUGAAGAAUGACAGAUUUUCCCCUAUCAUUAUUUUCCUUUGGCUGUGUCAAUGGGAGUUUGGAAGAGAGACAGGAUGGGAAGUUCAAUGUGAGGAUUUGAAUGCCUGUCACAGAAUAGAAGUCUGUCCUUGUACUUUUCCUAGUCUCUUUAGACAAAGUCCCCUCCACCUUAUAGCCCUAUGUAU
Molecule: long non-coding RNA, 2384 nt
Organism: Equus asinus (donkey)
Lineage: Eukaryota; Metazoa; Chordata; Mammalia; Perissodactyla; Equidae
Source: Ensembl